GUUCAUUAUCUGUUUCUAUCCUCUGAAACCGCACUGCUUUUUUCUGUGAGAAAAAUGGAGGGAACUCCCUCUCCCGUUUUUCCUCUCUUCUCAAUUUCUCCUCACUCGAAUUUCUCUCUCCGCGAGAAAUCUCGUCUCCUGAAAAUCCCAUUGAAAUCCGACCACUCUACGUUUCAAAUCAGGGCCGCCGAUUCAGCAGACAGAAAUACAGCUUCGAGGGUUUCUCCUCAAAGAGCAGGUAACCGCACUCACCUCCUCUUCUGCUUUGUCCUUCUUCGCCACCGGCUGAUGUUAGCCAUAUCCACCUCUGGCGUGCUAACGUGCGCCGGGGCCGUUGGGAGCUAACAGCAGGGCUUUCAAAUCCCCCGAGGAAAACACAGAAGCUGCGUCCAGAGUUUCUGCCUAGUAGAGCAGGGCAUUUUGAUCCUGCGAGGAAGAUGCAGAAUCUGAACUCGGAGGUUUCUCCUCACAGAGCUGUUUCUGCGGUGAGAUUGUUGCGGAUAGAUCAAGGUGGUGCUUUUGCUGACCUUUUGAAUGACAAAGGAAAAAAUUCUAGUGAGAACGAGAUGUGUUACGUGGAAAGAACUCUUGGGUUUCGCACCCAUGCUUUGGAUGAUAGAGAUAUCAGACUGCUAUCAUUUCUUAUAUUUUUCCCUUU
Molecule: RNA transcript, 658 nt
Organism: Magnolia sinica
Lineage: Eukaryota; Viridiplantae; Streptophyta; Magnoliopsida; Magnoliales; Magnoliaceae
Exons: 4
Source: RefSeq, a predicted model, not a curated record